UUGCAGGGUCAUUUCAAAUUUGGACCUUGAGCCAGAUAGUGCUGACAUGAGUGUCCCAUCAGGAGUCAAUGACACUGCAAUUGCUGAAUGCACUGCCAGGGAAUCAGACCAAGAUUUUGGUGAUGACUGGGAAAGGUACGAACAUCAACAAUUCAUUCCCAUGUUUCACUGUUGCUGGCC
Molecule: long non-coding RNA, 180 nt
Organism: Dermacentor silvarum
Lineage: Eukaryota; Metazoa; Arthropoda; Arachnida; Ixodida; Ixodidae
Exons: 3
Source: RefSeq, a predicted model, not a curated record